GGGGCCGUGGGGUAGCUUGGCCAUCCUUCUAGCUUGGGGUGCUAGAGACUCCGAUUCAAAUUCGGACGGCCCCA
RNAcentral lists this transfer RNA (74 nucleotides) under Nitrososphaerota archaeon. RNAcentral describes it as "tRNA-Pro". Lineage: Archaea; Thermoproteati; Nitrososphaerota. The record is from RNAcentral. RNAcentral also lists the same sequence under 1 other name.